UACGGAGGGUGCAAGCGUUAUCCGGAUUCACUGGGUUUAAAGGGUGCGUAGGAGGGCAGGUAAGUCAGUGGUGAAAUCUCCAAGCUUAACUUGGAAACUGCCGUUGAUACUAUCUGUCUUGAAUACCGUGGAGGUGAGCGGAAUAUGUCAUGUAGCGGUGAAAUGCAUAGAUACAAUCAAGAACUCCGAUUGCGUAGGCAGCUAACUAGGCUGUAACUGACGCUGAGGCACGAAAGCGUGGGGAGCGAACAGG
RNAcentral lists this ribosomal RNA (253 nucleotides) under uncultured bacterium. RNAcentral's name for it is "partial 16S ribosomal RNA". It matches the Rfam family "Bacterial small subunit ribosomal RNA", at positions 524 to 776 of the family's 1533-position model. The record is from RNAcentral.